CUACGGGAGGCAGCAGUGGGGAAUCUUCCGCAAUGGGCGAAAGCCUGACGGAGCAACGCCGCGUGAGUGAUGACGGCCUUCGGGUUGUAAAACUCUGUGAUCCGGGACGAAAAGGCAGAGUGCGAAGAACAAACUGCAUUGACGGUACCGGAAAAGCAAGCCACGGCUAACUACGUGCCAGCAGCCGCGGUAAUACGUAGGUGGCAAGCGUUGUCCGGAAUUAUUGGGCGUAAAGCGCGCGCAGGCGGCUUCCCAAGUCCCUCUUAAAAGUGCGGGGCUUAACCCCGUGAUGGGAAGGAAACUGGGAAGCUGGAGUAUCGGAGAGGAAAGUGGAAUUCCUAGUGUAGCGGUGAAAUGCGUAGAGAUUAGGAAGAACACCGGUGGCGAAGGCGACUUUCUGGACGAAAACUGACGCUGAGGCGCGAAAGCGUGGGGAGCAAACAGGAUUAGAUACCCCGGU
This 460-nucleotide ribosomal RNA is filed under the name uncultured bacterium. RNAcentral describes it as "bacterial SSU rRNA". It matches the Rfam family "Bacterial small subunit ribosomal RNA", at positions 339 to 791 of the family's 1533-position model. The record is from RNAcentral.